GGUAGGGUGGCCGAGUGCCUGGCGGCGGAUUGUAGCUCCGUGGACAGAGGUUUAAGCCCUCUUCCUACCA
RNAcentral lists this transfer RNA (70 nucleotides) under Rhodeus shitaiensis. RNAcentral describes it as "tRNA-Tyr". It matches the Rfam family "tRNA". From Rfam's summary of the family: Transfer RNA (tRNA) molecules are approximately 80 nucleotides in length. The record is from RNAcentral. Lineage: Eukaryota; Metazoa; Chordata; Actinopteri; Cypriniformes; Acheilognathidae.